RNAcentral lists this ribosomal RNA (509 nucleotides) under uncultured bacterium. RNAcentral's name for it is "bacterial SSU rRNA". It matches the Rfam family "Bacterial small subunit ribosomal RNA", at positions 355 to 874 of the family's 1533-position model. The record is from RNAcentral.
UGGGGAAUAUUGCGCAAUGGGCGAAAGCCUGACGCAGCGACGCCGCGUGAGGGAUGAAGGCCUUCGGGUUGUAAACCUCUUUCAGCAGGGAAGAAGCGCAAGUGACGGUACCUGCAGAAGAAGCACCGGCUAACUACGUGCCAGCAGCCGCGGUAAUACGUAGGGUGCAAGCGUUGUCCGGAAUUAUUGGGCGUAAAGAGCUCGUAGGCGGCCUGUCGCGUCGGAUGUGAAAAUCCAAGGCUCAACCUUGGACCUGCAUUCGAUACGGGCAGGCUAGAGUUCGGUAGGGGAGACUGGAAUUCCUGGUGUAGCGGUGAAAUGCGCAGAUAUCAGGAGGAACACCGGUGGCGAAGGCGGGUCUCUGGGCCGAUACUGACGCUGAGGAGCGAAAGCGUGGGGAGCGAACAGGAUUAGAUACCCUGGUAGUCCACGCCGUAAACGUUGGGCGCUAGGUGUGGGGAACCUUCCACGUUCUCCGUGCCGCAGCUAACGCAUUAAGCGCCCCGCCU